This 355-nucleotide unclassified non-coding RNA is filed under the name soil metagenome. RNAcentral's name for it is "partial contains 5.8S ribosomal RNA, internal transcribed spacer 2, and large subunit ribosomal RNA". The stretch from base 1 to 120 matches the Rfam family "5.8S ribosomal RNA", at positions 35 to 154 of the family's 154-position model. The record is from RNAcentral.
GAUGAUGAACGUAGCGAAAUGCGAUAAGUAGUGUGAAUUGCAGAAUUCAGUGAAUCAUCGAAUCUUUGAACGCACAUUGCGCCUUCUAGUAUUCUGGGAGGCAUGCCUGUUUGAGCGUCAUUAAACCUCUCUCAAGUAUGAUUACUUGGAUGUGAAGGAAGAGUACCUUAAACUUAAGGAGUGUUCUCCUUUGAAAUUGAUUAGCAGAUGGUAAUGUUAUUAAAUCCCUGAUGUUGUAAGAAAUAACAGUGGUUUUGUAGACUAUUAUCUAGCUUUAAAUUAUAAUUUUUAUUAUGGUUGACCUCAAAUCAGGUAAGGAUACCCGCUGAACUUAAGCAUAUCAAUAAGCGGAGGA